GAUGAACGCUAGCGGGAGGCUUAAUACAUGCAAGUCGAACGGUAAGGUCACUGCUUGCAGUGAUACACGAGUGGCGAACGGGUGAGUAACGCGUACACGACCUACCUUUAAGUCUGGGAUAGCCCUGGGAAACUGGGAUUAAUACCGGAUGUGAUAGUGGUUUUACAUUACUAUUAAAGAUCAGUCGCUUAAAGAUGGGUGUGCGUACUAUUAGCUAGUUGGUGAGGUAAAGGCUCACCAAGGCUACGAUAGUUAGGGGGCGUGAGAGCGUGACCCCCCACACGGGUACUGAGACACGGACCCGACUCCUACGGGAGGCAGCAGUAAGGAAUAUUGGACAAUGGGGGCAACCCUGAUCCAGCCAUCCCGCGUGUAGGAAGACUGCCCUAUGGGUUGUAAACUACUUUUAUCAGGGAAGAACAGUUGACAUUUAUGUUGGCAUGACGGUACCUGAAGAAUAAGCACCGGCUAACUCCG
This 477-nucleotide ribosomal RNA is filed under the name uncultured Saprospiraceae bacterium. RNAcentral describes it as "bacterial SSU rRNA". It matches the Rfam family "Bacterial small subunit ribosomal RNA", at positions 28 to 505 of the family's 1533-position model. The record is from RNAcentral. Lineage: Bacteria; Pseudomonadati; Bacteroidota; Saprospiria; Saprospirales; Saprospiraceae.